RNAcentral lists this ribosomal RNA (127 nucleotides) under Staphylococcus pseudintermedius. RNAcentral's name for it is "partial 23S ribosomal RNA". It matches the Rfam family "Bacterial large subunit ribosomal RNA", at positions 2796 to 2925 of the family's 2925-position model. Lineage: Bacteria; Bacillati; Bacillota; Bacilli; Caryophanales; Staphylococcaceae. The record is from RNAcentral.
CCCUCGAGAUGAGAUUUCCCAACUUCGGUUAUAAGAUCCCUCAAAGAUGAUGAGGUGAAUAGGUUCGAGGUGGAAGCGUAGUGAUACGUGGAGCUGACGAAUACUAAUCGAUCGAAGACUUAAUCAA